Molecule: long non-coding RNA, 5220 nt
Organism: Mirounga angustirostris (Northern elephant seal)
Lineage: Eukaryota; Metazoa; Chordata; Mammalia; Carnivora; Phocidae
Exons: 9
Source: RefSeq, a predicted model, not a curated record
GUCACCUUCUCGCGAGAUUUGCGCCUGGGACGGCGGAGUCUUAUUCAGAGACCGGCUCCUCAGACUGAACGACUAGGUUCCACGGCGGUGGGAGAGCAAAGUGAUUUUUAAGUUCCGGGCAGCUGCUGAAGAUUUGGUGGCAGCAGUGGGAUCCAAAGCAAAUCUCCAUCAACAUUCAGGGACAAUGAGAAACACAAGCAUGGCGCCCUGUUAACCCUUUUGAAUUCACUUUCUUGCUGUUUUCAAAGGCCAUUGGGUUGCAGUUUUCUUGUCUCACGGAGGCGAAGAAUGAAUCUCGUGGACACAAAAGGGUGAAGUGAUAGUUUAUUAAGUUAAGAGAGAGACACAGCAAGAGAGGGAACACAAGCAGGGGGAGUGGGAGAGGGAGAAGCAGGCUUCCCGCCGAGCAGGAGGCCCGAUGUGGGACUCGAUCCCAGGACCCUGGGAUCAUGACCUGAGCCGAAGGCAGACGCUUAACGACUGAGCCACCCAGUAUUCACAGCAAUGUCCAGCAUACCUGACUGAGGAGUAUUGUUGGCUGGAAUCUUUACUGAAACCGUUGUAAGAAAGUAAUCCUUUCCAAGAGUUCAGGAGUAAAAUUACCAAGCAGCUGAUUUGCUGAUUCUCUGAGAAGUGUCUAACCUCUCCCCCCUCCAAACAAAUACACAGACAAAAAUAUUUUCUGCAUUCACCAGCCAAUACCUACCUGAGCUGUCUAUUGGAACCUUAUUCAAAGAUGGGGCCUCAUCCUUGACUCAAGAGUUGGAGUGAGAGAACGUAUCCAAAGUUCACUGGUGGAUCUCACUGCUUCAGGUCGCAAUGCUUAGCUCAGGCCCGGGCAUGAGACAUGAUCAGAGCCAAGUAAGAGGCAGCGAGGCUUCUUUUGGAACUGCCAGAACAGAAGUGGUGCUCCAUCACUCUGAAGGCAUUCCAACCUGAGGCCUGAGAGGUGAUUUGAAGAUAAUUCAGUGGAAUGAGUAUAGGCAACUCUUUAAACAGCUGAAUUGUGAUUAUGAAGGAAAAGAUGCUAUGAUUUAGUUGGAGAUAUGGCAGCAAAUUUUAUUUAUUUGACAGAGAGACACAGCGAAAGAGGAAACACAAGCAGAGGUAGAGGGAAAGGGAGAAGCAGGCUUCCCGCGGAGCAGGGAGCCUGCCUGAUGCGGGGCUCGAUCCCAGGACCCUGGGAUCAUGACCUGAGCCAAAGGCAGAUACUUAACAACUGAGCCACCCAGAUUCAUAAAGAAAAGGACCUCAAAGAAAAACGGUUAUAUAAAAUAAAGGAUUUAUAAUUGUGUGAAUUUUAUUUAUUCUAAUUCAUCAAUGAUGUUCCAUUAGCAUCACUCAUAGCUUUGGCAGUUUGGUUUUGAAUAAUACUAAAUAGCUCUCUAUGUCUGGACUGAUUUGGAUGACCUGGUUAUUUUAAGAAGAACAUUUAAGUAGAUGGAUUAUAACACACGUUUAUACACAUGCACAUGCUCACUCAUUAUGUAUUCAUUUGUGGCCAAACAAGUUUUUUUUUCUUCCCCUCCCCAGCACAAUGUAACUUGAUUGGUUAAAGACCAAAAUAAAUCUUAAUUUAUGAUUUAUCAUUCUGCAAUUGGUUAUUGCAGUGGAUGCUUUGAUAGAUUUCCUAAACUCCUUCCUUAAGAUCAUCCCCUAAUAACUGGCAGUAACAGCAACUGACCACACACAGCUCAAUCCCUCGAGAAGAACUGUGCUCAGCUAUAAGGAACUGCUUUGCCAAAGGUGGCUAGGGGCAGCCCAAGGCCAAUGAGUGCCUAAUGAAGGGAUACACCCUACCUCAAGCUGGGACAACUUCAAAGGCCCAUCUCAUCUCCAGAGUUCCCAAGAGGAUUGACUGAGGUCUGAGAUGCAACUGCAUUCCAGGUUAGCUUGUAUCCCUCUGCCCAGUCCCCUGUCAUCACUUGUUUAUAUGUGUGUAUACUACUAGAGGACCCCAGUAAGCCUUCCCCUUAAUAGGGAACUUAAACUGAUACAAAGAAAACUCAAGUCCUGCAGUUUACAAAAAUAUAAGAUAAAGGACUUUUCCUCCUUGAGUUUUAAAAAGAAUAAUCUGAAAGAGCUCAAAAGUACAACCAAGAAUACUUUCAUCAGGUUUAUGAAAACUUAUCACUUUCAAUACAAUAAGUAUUGUGAGAUGGAAGUGACAUUGUCCUCAAUAUCCAAGAUGGAGAAUUACUUCAGACCUUUCUAGGUGGAGUUGGCUGAGAUUGCAUGUAUUUGAAAGUGCCAAAUCUAGGGAGAAGUUUAAUCUUUAAGCCAUUUAUAGCCAGGACUGUAUAUAAUUCUUAGGUGAAACAGAAGAUACAUAUUUUAUAUUUUUUAUUAUAAAAAUGGAAAUUCACAACCAGGAGGCAUGUCCGUUAUGUAUUGAUGUAUUGUUAUUGAGAACAGCAAGUUGCAUAUAUAUAGUACAGUUUUUAUAAAUGCAAACGACACCAAAAUACUUUAGAUGCUUGUGUAUUUAUUUGUAUAUAUUUGAGGGUGAAGAAGUUUAUUUAACAGGCAUUAACUAUCAUAAGGUGAAACUAGUAGAAGGGAGAGUUAGCAGGAAUGCGAAUACAGUCCUUUAAAUGGUUUAAAAGAACCACUAUUCUAUAUUACUCUAGUGUUUUUUUCCUGGUUGAGCUUAAGAGGUAUGAGGUUUGUAAUUUUGGAAGAGGCAUUUAAGAUUUAAAGUGAAACAGAACAAUGCCUUUAAUCUAAAAAAGAGACUACAUAAAACUAUUCAAAAUAAAAAUUUUGUUCAUUGUAAUGUGAUACCAGCUAAUGUUUAUAUUACUGAAAGGAUGCCUCUAAGAUUGCAGUGGAAUUGACUGUAAACAAAAGCAGUAGUUUCAAAGAACUGUGGCCAGCAUAAACAAAAUCGGGUUAUAAUUGAUGACAGAAUUUUAAAAUUUUUCUUUCCUAAGAUGGUGCCUAUAUCACCAAUGACUAUUAAGCUAGUUAUUUUUCUUAUUUCUCUCUUCAAAACCAUUUUUAAAAAAGUAGCAUAGAUAGAGCAUGUUAUGUUUAAAAGCCCUCGAAACUCCCCAUAACUUUCAGGGUAAAACCCAGACUCAUUAAAAUGGAAUGUAGGUCUCAUAUAUCCUUUCUGCUUCCUCUUUAACUUCAUCCUCCCCUCCUCCCGCUCACAUGCUUUACUUCAGCCCUCAGAUCAUGAGAGGACUUCAAGGGUAUCUGCCUCUAUGUCUUUGUCCAUUUUGCUUCCUUAUGCUAGGAAGUUCUCUCCACCAAGUUCCACUUUCCCAGAUCAGUUUUAUUCCCCCUUUACUAGUAAAGCAAGAUGUCUUCUCUAGGUGGUAUUUUCGUGCCUCCAAACGUUAGCCUGGAUUAGGUGCCUUCCCAGCACAUCCCCACAUAUCUCAGGGUUUUUCUUUUCCAUGGCAUUCAUCCCAGUGAAUUCCUUUUUUUAGCUUUAUUGAAGUUUAAUUGAUAUACAAUAAACUGCAUAUUUUAAAUUGUAUAAUUUAAUGAGCUUUGACAUAUGUAUAGAGCCAUGAAACCAUCACCACAAAUCAAGAUAAUGAACUUUUUCUGUCACCCACAAAAAUUUCUUCUUGUCCCUUUGUAUUUCCUCCUAUCCCUCUCCACCCUCCCUGUGCAUCCCCAGGGUACUACUGAUCUGCUUUCUAUCAUGAUAGAUUAGUUUGGAUUGUCUAGAAUUUUAUAUAAAUGGAACCAUACAAUGUCCUCUUUUAUCCUGGCUUUUUUCACUCAGCAUGAUUAUUUUGGGAUUCAUCAAUGUUGUUGCAUGUAUCAAUAGUUUAUUUGUUUUUUUUUUUUCUGAGUUUCUUUGGUUAUACCAAAAUUUUUUAUCCAUUCACCUGAUAGACAUUUGUGUGGUUUCCAGUUUGGGGCUAUUACCAAAAAAGGUGUUAUGCAUAUUUUUGUAUGUCUUUCUGUGGACAUAUACUUUUAUUUUUCCUGUGUAAAUACCUAGGAGUGUGUAUUACUUUCUAGGGCUGCUAUAAUAAAAUACUACAUAUUGGGUGGUUUAAAAUAAUAGGAAUUGAUUCUCCCACAGUUCUGGAGGCUAGAAGUCCAAAAUCAAGGUGUUAGCAGAGGUUGUAGGGAAGAAUUCUUCUUUGCCUCCUCUUGAUUCUGGGAUUUCUUGGCAUUCUUUGGCAUUUUUGGUAUUCCUUGAUUUGCAGAUGGAUCUCUCCAUCUACGUAUAGUUUUGACUUCUGUGUGUUUCUGUCUCUGUGUCUAGAUUUCCCUCUUUUUAUAAGAACACCAGUCCUAUUAGAUUUAGGGCCUGAUUUAAUCAAGUAGGGUCUUAACUAGAGUAUAUCUGCAAAGACCCUAUUUCCAAGUAAGGACAUAUUUAUAGGUUCUGAGUGGAUGUGAGUUUUUUUAUUUUUUUAAUUUAAAUUCAAUUAAUUAACAUAUAAUAUAUUAAUUGUUUCAGAGGUCGAGGUCAGUGAUUCAUCAGUCUUAGGUAAUACCCAGUGCUCAUUACAUCACAUGUGGAUGUGAAUUUUGAGGGGAUACUAUUCCACCCAGUACAGAGCCUAACAUUUCUUUGGACAAUAUUAAUCUUUCCUGUGUAGAUAUGUUUUGAAAAAAUAUUCUCCUAGGAAGGGCUUGCCUUUUCAUUUUUACAUCAAUGCCUUUUGAAGAGCAAAGUUUUCAACUGUGAUAGUUUGUCCUUUUGUAUUGUGUUUAAGAAACAUAUCAAGAUCAAAAAAAAAGGGGCGCCUGGGUGGUUCAGUUGGUUAAGUGACUGCUUUCGGCUCAGGUCAUGAUCCUGGAGUCCCUGGAUCGAGUCCCGCAUCGGGCUCCCUGCUCGGCGGGGAGUCUGCUUCUCCCUCUGACCCUCCCCCCUCUCAUGGGCUCUCUCUCUCAUUCUCUCUGUCUCAAAUAAAUAAAUAAAAUCUUUAAAAAAAUAAUCCAAAAAAAAAAAGAAACAUAUCAAGAUCAUUGAGAUUUUUCUCUAAUGAUUUCUUCCAGAAGUUUUCCAGAUUUGAGUCUAUGAACUGUUUCAAGUUAAUUUUUGUCUAUAUUGUGAGGUAAUAAUAAAGGCUUGUUUUUGUUUAUUUUGUAAUAGUCAUACAAUUGUUUAGGACCAUUUGUUAAAAAUAUUAUUUUUUUCCCUGUUGAAUUGUCUUGGUAUUAAAAAAAUAAAUUAAAUGUAUUUAUAGGUCUAAUUCUAGACUCGAUUCUGUUCUGUCAUUGAUCUAUUUUUUAAAUCUUUAU